CAGCCGCCGCGGGAAUACGUAGGGUGCAAGCGUUAAUCGGAAUUACUGGGCGUAAAGCGUGCGUAGGCGGCUUCUUAAGUCGGAUGUGAAAUCCCUGAGCUUAACUUAGGAAUUGCAUUCGAUACUGGGAAGCUAGAGUAUGGGAGAGGAUGGUAGAAUUCCAGGUGUAGCGGUGAAAUGCGUAGAGAUCUGGAGGAAUACCGAUGGCGAAGGCAGCCAUCUGGCCUAAUACUGACGCUGAGGUACGAAAGCAUGGGGAGCAAACAGGAUUAGAUACCCCCGUAGUCCCUGUCUCUUAUAC
This 301-nucleotide ribosomal RNA is filed under the name uncultured bacterium. RNAcentral's name for it is "partial 16S ribosomal RNA". It matches the Rfam family "Bacterial small subunit ribosomal RNA", at positions 509 to 807 of the family's 1533-position model. The record is from RNAcentral.